GGGAUGGGGAGGGCAGCUCUGGCACAUUGGGAUUAGCUGCUGGGGGCUGGCAGUGCCCUCCUGCCCUGAGAGCUGCAGCAGCACAGUGCUGGAGUAGCUGUGGUUCCUGAGGGCUGUGUGAUCCAGGCUCAACCUGUAGGAAGGAGGGGUGAGUAUUGGCUUUUUGCAGUGGUUUCUAUGCCCCAUGGCAGCUCUGGUGGUGGUUCAGGAGCUUGCUGCCUCAGUUCAGAGCAUUUUCCCUCCCUGCUGUCUGCUUCCCCUUCUCCAACAACCAAGCUUUGCAUUUAGGGCCUGAUUGAUGCUGGGGAUUUACAGCUGACUCAGCCACUCGGGACUGUGAUUUCCCUGUAGUGAGAAAGGUCAUAUAUGGGGGGGGGUGCUGAAACCUCAGAACAGCUCAUCCCAAAAUUUCCAGGGCUGUGUUAGUUCUCACAGUGCUGUCACAAUGAUUUCCAACGAGCAAGGGAUGCUGUCAGUUGCAGCUGAUCUGGGGCUGCUCCCCACGCACGCCCUCUGUUUGCAAACACUGCCUGUCAUUGCUGUUGCAUGGUGGCAAUGCUAUGUGCAAGGCUGUGGUCCUUCACAGGCCUGUGGGGGUUAGGAAGUGCUGCUGCUGGUUGCACCAUGCAGACCAUGUGAAAUCUACAAGUGCUGCCUUUACAUGUUGACUUAACGACCAGCUUUCCCCCCUGUAUGGCCCUGUUUGUGCUCUCUGCUGGUUGGAGCUCUCAGGGCUGUGCAGUGCAAUGAGGCUGGCAGCAGUAGGAUGGGGCUGGGACCCCCCCCUCAGCCUUGGGGGUGUGAGGCACCUCCUGGCCAGGUUGCUGCAGAGCUCAUUUAGGAUGUGGUGUCUGUCCUAAGCCUGAACCACUUGGACAGAGGAAAGAUAGGAAUGCUCAACCCAACCUCCUCCCUUCUAUCUGGGGCGAAAAAAAAGCACGUUGGAGAGGAGCCCUGAAGCAGUCGGAUCUCUGAAAGGCGAAGUGCUAUCCAGUUGCUGUGCAGAUUUGUCAACUGCUUCAAGCAGGAAAUUACUUCGUGUCUUGAAAAGCCUCCAAGCACCUGUAACGCUGUGAGCACGGGGGAGCUGCUGUCUGCUGGCCUGGGUUUGGUGAGCUGGGGCUGAUCUGCUGGGCAGGGCCUGUUCCUCAGUGUCCUUGGAGGUAAGGGGUCCCUUGGUGCUGUGUUAGGGGUCCUGAGUUCAUGCUUGGUGAGUAAUGCAUGCAGCACUGCAUCCCCAUGUGAGUCUCCUUGUGUUUCUGUAGGUCCUAUCAAAACACACCAGGGGUGAAAGAAGUUGCUCUACCACCCCAAUGGGCUGUGUUCAGCCAUAGCAUGAUGGUGGGAGGAUCCAAACCCUCAAGGGUGGUGUGGAGGGGGGGAUGAAGUGGCCUUGUUGUGUCAGCAGUGUGUGUGAAGGGUGAUCUGGUGCUGCUGAGAGCUGCUGGCUGCUCGGACACAGUGAUGCAUUGCUCCAGCUCAAUGGGAUCUUCCUCCCCCUCUGACAGCUGUGAGAUCGAUCAUGACCGUGUGCAAAGAAGUAAAGUGCAUCAAAGCCACUUGGCAACUUAACUAACCAGGCUCAUAAAUUAAUUGCUAUCCCUAUUGUAAGGGAGAAAUCAGUCUCUCCUUGAGGAGAUCUGUCUCCAUUGCUCAUUCGGCUGCAUCCCUUCAUAAAUCUUCCCUAAAAAAUAUCAGCACCUUCUCAGGCUGCCAUCUGUUUAUUUGGUUGGACUUGGAACUUGCUGAAAUGUCUUUCGAUGGAUGAAGCAACAGAGAGUAGAAGAACAGAGCCUGGCAAGGCUGCUUGGUGAGUGGAAAAUAAUUUUUUGGGGCUUUCUGGAGUUUGAAGCCCCGAUGAUGGAUGUGCAUGCGAGAGAUGGUAAUGGCUUUGUAAGUAUCAAAACACAGAGCAAGAGAAUAACUCUGCCUCAUGGACUGAGGAAUGGAUGCUGGGCGGGAUCUGCUCAGCUCUGACACAGCUGCAUGAUGGAGUGCUGUGGGCUCGGGAGUAGGGUCCUGCAUUUGUUUAAUGUGUUGGAAAAAAAACACAGGGUAAGUGGUUUUAAAAGAUAUUACAUACUCACUACGAAUGUGUUGGAAAAUCAGAGCAUCGUUAAGGUUGGAAAAGACCUCUAAGAUCAUCACGUCUAACUGUUAACCCAUCGCCACCACACCCAAGCUCACAGCUUGUUGGGUUUGGGGGUGUUUUGCUGGUUGCUGCACCAAGGAAAGGCUUUGCUGAUCCCAUUCCUUUUUUAAAGGGGUUUUGGUGUCCCACUUCCAACCUGGCUUAUGUGAGUGAUCCUCAGCACAGGCGCUGCCUUUUAUCCAUAUCCUUACUGAGAGCAGGAUAUGGGCACAGGCUGCCCAGGGACCACAGAGAUGUGGCAUUGGAAUUGGUGUGGUGGGCUUGGUGAUCUUGGAGGACCUUUCCAACCUCCAUGGCUCUGUGAUUCUUUGGGGUGGUUUCUUUUUCUCCUUCCUUAAUGGGUUUUUCCUCUGGGUUAAUCCAACACAACUCCUGGAACAGGUGCAAGUGAGACAGCAGAUAACUGGGCUGCAGGGCUGUCUGCAUGGCAGGUUUUUGGGACUGGAUGUUUUCCCUCCCAACACCUGGUGGCUUUGUCCAGCUGCAGCCUUGGGAGGAUGAUCUGCCUGUGUUUGGCUCCAAUCCUUGGAGGCUGAAAAUGAAAAACAACCAGAAGAAAAAAAAACUUGCUGUCAAGUAUUGUCAGCAAUACUCUGUAUAUCCAAAGCUGUGCUGGAGAACCACUGAGCUUCCUGCUACCCUGUGUUGGCUGAAAGGCAAUGAGAUUAAGGAAAUCAUAACUUCCACAAGGAUUUCUUUUUAAAGGGCAAAACAAAACAGAUCAUUUCCUCAAUUUAAUGUGAGCCAAUUAUGGCUCAUGGGCUGUUAACUUCAUCACUGCUUCUUCCAAGAAAGACGUUGGGUAAAAUGAACCAGCCCAGCUCCGCGUGCGCCCAGCAAAGCUUCAGCCCCAGCCAUUUAUCCCCGCAGAUGGAAAAAAGCUAAAGCCUAUGUCGCACAAAUGCCCUCUAAAGUAUCCAACCACUUGUUGUACAUCUGCUGACGGAUACCAACUGGAAAGGAGAUUAGCACUCAGACUCCCGCGCUGGGCUGUCUGCUCUUCCUAAUGAGGACCAGAUUGCAGCCCACGCCAGCGCUGCACCUCCAGCGGAUGGCGGGAUGGGGAGAAAACCUCAUGGAUGGAAUCUGGAGGUCUGAAGACACGUUUCUGCUCCACUGGUCAUCUAUGAACAGGACUAUGGCAUUACAGCUGCCUACGUAUCCUGGGGUGAAUCUUCAGUGUUCAUGGGCAGAUUUCACCUGUUAUUAUUGGCGUAAGUGCAACCUUCCUGGUCAUUGCGGUGUGUCCCCUGAUGCCCUGUGCUUUAUCAUUCAAGGUCAUGGGAAGCACACAGAAUAUUUUCAUUUGCUCCUAAUGGUCACGAGGAGAUCUUGGGGAUCAGGAUGUGCUGCAUGCAUUGAAGCGCCUUCACCUCAAAGGCAGACGGAGGUGAUGCACAGGGAGCUCCCAAAACUCAUUUCCCAUCCUAAGCCCUACACAUCCCAAAUGCAUACCAGGUCCUGCAGGAUGAGACUGGAGAAUGUGGGAGCAAGAGGAAGCAAGGUUUGUAAGGGAAAGGAUGGGGAGAUGCUGCUGUGCUCUUUGGGGAGCCCCCAAUGCCCUGCAUGCCGCAUGGAGCUCAUGUGAAACUCAUUAAAAGUGUGAGGAGAGGGAGGACGAUGGUUGGGAAUCGUUUUGUUUGGGUUUCUAAAACGUGCGCAUGAAAACACUGUGUGGUUUUCUGACAAAUUUGAAACAGUGCUAUUCAAUUCACUCCAGCGUUGCUACUGUUGAUCUAGCAGACUGUAAAGCAUUUAUUGGAGUUGCUUGAGGCGAACUUAAGCAUCUGUGGAAUAACAAGUCCAGGAAGUAAUUGCAUCCACAAGGAAAAUAUUUUUAUGUAUAAUUCAGUGACCCAUUUUAUAAACAUUGUGGUUCCACCUUG
Molecule: long non-coding RNA, 4038 nt
Organism: Coturnix japonica (Japanese quail)
Lineage: Eukaryota; Metazoa; Chordata; Aves; Galliformes; Phasianidae
Source: RefSeq, a predicted model, not a curated record